Molecule: long non-coding RNA, 595 nt
Filed under: Anser brachyrhynchus (Pink-footed goose)
Lineage: Eukaryota; Metazoa; Chordata; Aves; Anseriformes; Anatidae
Description: lncRNA (ENSABRG00000008389.1)
Source: RNAcentral
GGAGAUUGUGAAGCCACCCUGCAAGAUGAGCCCUGCCUGCCAUGCCUGCACUCAGCACUGAGAUUCUGCAGGACUCACAAGUUGUAAAUAUGUGUAUUAAGAUGCGAAUAACCACCUUCAGUGCAACUUGAAACACCACCAAGAGCUGGGAAUGGAGAGACAAGAACAGGUCAUAGAACAGCUUUAAUUCUGAACCACGAUCACCACCCCUAAAACAGUCUUCCCCCUUUCUCCCUCUCUCUGAUGAAAGUGGGUUAUAACUUCUGCAGGUGGCCAGAAAACGGAUUGCAGUGAACAUCUGCACAUCUCAGUCCCUGAAAAAAAAUUACAAACAUGCUCACUGUCUUGCUAAUGUUCUUCCUUUGAGCCAAGGAUAUUCUCAUGAAAUAGUGAUAUAUGUAUCAAAAUGGUAGCAAAAAGAACUCAGUUGAAUUAAGAACUGUACAAGAGCCUUGAGACUUUAAAGAAAACCCAACAACCAUUUCCUCAAGUAACAUAACUUUUAAUUAAUAUACUCUUAGAUACCCUUCACUUACUGCACAAUGACCUGCCACAGAUAUCACUACACAUAAUAAAAGAAAAAGUUAAACUGGUG